Molecule: long non-coding RNA, 1098 nt
Organism: Neofelis nebulosa (Clouded leopard)
Lineage: Eukaryota; Metazoa; Chordata; Mammalia; Carnivora; Felidae
Exons: 3
Source: RefSeq, a predicted model, not a curated record
GUUCGGCGCAGCGGUGGCGGCAGUUCUGGGCUCGCAGCGCGCUUGGCUCCGGCGUGAGGGCCCCGCGGCGGAACAGGUGCCAGGCUCACUGCCCCAGGGAAUAAAUGAGUGAUCCAGAGGACACGGCAUCUCGAAACCAGUCUCCACGGCACGUCCUGACUCCGGAAACAAAGGAACAACUUAAUGAUGAAAUCAAAUCAAGCAGAAGUUUUUUUGCAUGCGAUUCAAGAAUGCUCUUUAUCCAGUCUGCACUGAAAUUGCAUUACCUGUAGUUAAGGAGGAAGUGUACUCAGUUGAGCUUGGAAGCAAUGUUACCAGAAAAGGAUUAACAAAUCAUAAGACAAAAUCCUUGGAAGUAAGGUCACUAGCAGACUGUGGCUAGGGCGCAAGCCAAGGAAUGGGUUUCACAUGUGCUGCCCCAUUAGUUCCUGGAAUCUUAAUACAUAACCUGCAUCAGCGAAUUGUGCCCAAAGGAGGGAAAGAACGAGAGCAUCACGUCUCUGCUGUGUUAGACAACAUGGCACUACUUGUUUUCAAAAAUUAGUUUUUAUUUUAUGAAAGCAAUGUAUGCACACGUAGGUUAAAAAUGUGUAUUAGACUUGCCUUUGAUUUAUCAAUAUUAGACGUUCUCUUUUAAUCACCUACUCUGGUCUUUGAGGAUUUGGUUCUCCUAUACCUUGCCUUCUGCUUCCCCCUCCAGUUUUCCCGCUAGAGUCAUAUUACAGCCUUUGUUCAGUUGACUGCUCCAUGUUUAUAUUAUUGUGCCUGUAUAAAUAUUGUUCAGACUGAGCAUUAUAGUGUACAGAUCACUAUAUUUGCUUUCUUUUUUCUUUUCCUGAAGUUAAUAAUGACCCUCUUCCCCUCUUUCAACUGGUCCUCUUUCGAGUUCUUUCUUACACCUUCCAAUAGCUUCUCGGUACACUUUUCUACAAGUUCAGUCAAACCAAUAUAUAUGUGCUGCAUUUUAGUUUUCCCCCAAGUAUUACUCCCAGACACUUCCUUCUCCUUCCUUAUGGACUGCUCUCUCUCUCUCUCUCUCUGGCCUGCUGCAUAGCUUCUUCCUGGGAAUGCCUUGAGUCGGAUUCUGCAUUUCCUAGA